CCCAGACUGAGCCCUGCCUAUUGCCAAGCCUCCUCUCUUAGACUCCCAGCCCUUCACUCUAUGCUGUCCUGCUCUUUGUUUCUGCAGUGCAGUUUAGGCUUCAGAUCCCACCCCCUCCAAGCGUGGAGAUCAUUUCCAGGCUAUGACAAUUCUGGAGCCAAAGAUUGCCUCCUAGAUCAGCCUGCUUCUGGGGGGCUUUGUUUCUUUGUCCUUCCAAGCCCGGUGCUCAGAGAGUCCCAUUCCGAGAUCAGACCAGGCACUGCUCAGGAAAGGUGAAAGAAACAAUUU
RNAcentral lists this long non-coding RNA (288 nucleotides) under Homo sapiens (human). RNAcentral describes it as "HSALNT0223145". The record is from RNAcentral. Lineage: Eukaryota; Metazoa; Chordata; Mammalia; Primates; Hominidae.